GACGAACGCUGGCGGCGUGCUUAACACAUGCAAGUCGAACGGAAAGGCCUGCUUUCCCUUGUGGAUUGCGGGUACUCGAGUGGCGAACGGGUGAGUAACACGUGAGUGAUCUGCCCCCAACUUGGGUAUAAGCCUGGGAAACUGGGUCUAAUUCCCGAUAGGACUGCAGGGUGGUGCCUGUGGUGGAAAACGAUUUUCUAGUGGUUGGGGAUGAGCUCGCGGCCUAUCAGCUUGUUGGUGGGGUAAUGGCCUACCAAGGCGGCGACGGGUAGCCGGCCUGAGAGGGUGGACGGCCACAUUGGGACUGAGAUACGGCCCAGACUCCUACGGGAGGCAGCAGUGGGGAAUAUUGCACAAUGGGCGGAAGCCUGAUGCAGCGACGCCGCGUGGGGGAUGACGGCCUUCGGGUUGUAAACUCCUUUCGACCGCGAGGAAGCCACCUGGUUGGAGGGGUGGUGACGGUAGUGGUAGAAGAAGCACCGGCCAACUACGUG
Molecule: ribosomal RNA, 494 nt
Filed under: uncultured bacterium
Lineage: Bacteria
Description: partial 16S ribosomal RNA
Rfam family: Bacterial small subunit ribosomal RNA
Source: RNAcentral